RNAcentral lists this ribosomal RNA (666 nucleotides) under Triticum aestivum (bread wheat). Its description in RNAcentral is "partial small subunit ribosomal RNA". The record is from RNAcentral. Lineage: Eukaryota; Viridiplantae; Streptophyta; Magnoliopsida; Poales; Poaceae.
CCCUUCCGAGUAAUUGCCAAAGUGGGACGUGUCGCGUACAAACUGCUGCUACCUGAUUCUACUAGCAUCCACCCGGUGUUUCACGUCAGUCAACUCAAGAAGCAUAUCGGACCUCGGGCCAUUCCUUGUGCUGAUCUUCCGCUCGUUCGCUCUGAUGGUAUGAUCCAAACUGAACCUGUUCUGGUGUUAGACACUCGUCAGGUAGUUCGCAACAAUCUCUCCAUCGUCCAGUGGCUUGUGCAAUGGGCAAAUUUGCCGCCGGAUGAAGCUUCCUGGGAAGAUGCAGCGUUUAUCAAGAAAACCUUUCCAGCCUUCUUCAAGCAAACUAUCGACAAGUGGUGGGUACUACCACACCUGCAGAUUCAGUCCCAAGUUGUCGACCGUCUUCAGAUAACGGGCGGCCAAGAUUCAAGACAUUCUGGGGGUCCAACGGCUCACGAUGCUCGCCUGAUCACCAGAACGUUAUGUACUUUUACUGCCUCGUUUCAAUUGCCGGACUGUACCUUUUCACCGUGGCCAGCUGAGCAUACAAGCCAGCUACCCCUCUCUGUAAUGGCAUCGAUCAUCUCUGAGAAUUAUCUCUACCAAGCACAAUUAUACCUUUACAGCAAUACAAACCCUAGACGGGGCUCCUACUUCCCCCUUUUACUUGUGAGAUAUGCGUGA